This 366-nucleotide ribosomal RNA is filed under the name uncultured Verrucomicrobiae bacterium. RNAcentral describes it as "bacterial SSU rRNA". It matches the Rfam family "Bacterial small subunit ribosomal RNA", at positions 9 to 361 of the family's 1533-position model. The record is from RNAcentral. Lineage: Bacteria; Pseudomonadati; Verrucomicrobiota; Verrucomicrobiia.
GAGUUUGAUCUUGGCUCAGAACGAACGCUGGCGGCGUGGAUAAGACAUGCAAGUCGAACGAGCUUACUUUGGUAGCAAUAUUGAAGUAAGUUAGUGGCGCAAGGGUGCGUAACACGUGGGCAACCUGCCCUGGGGUGUGGGAUAGCCCGCCGAAAGGCGGAUUAAUACCGCGUGUGGCUACUGAGUGCAUACUCGGGACGCUAAAGGUGGCGCAAGCUACCGCUCCGGGAUGGGCCCGCGGCCUAUCAGCUAGUUGGCGGGGUAACGGCCCACCAAGGCUAUGACGGGUAGCUGGUCUGAGAGGACGACCAGCCACACUGGAACUGAGACACGGUCCAGACACCUACGGGUGGCAGCAGUCGAGAA